UGACGCUCAUUUCUAACUAACUUGGGGACU
This 30-nucleotide non-coding RNA is filed under the name Mus musculus (house mouse). The record is from RNAcentral. Lineage: Eukaryota; Metazoa; Chordata; Mammalia; Rodentia; Muridae.